RNAcentral lists this transfer RNA (55 nucleotides) under Capra hircus (goat). It matches the Rfam family "tRNA", at positions 10 to 63 of the family's 71-position model. Rfam says of the family: Transfer RNA (tRNA) molecules are approximately 80 nucleotides in length. RNAcentral also lists the same sequence under 1 other name. Lineage: Eukaryota; Metazoa; Chordata; Mammalia; Artiodactyla; Bovidae. The record is from Rfam by way of RNAcentral.
UCUUAGUUGGUAAAGAAUCUGCCUGAAAUGCAGGAGACCCCGGUUUGAUUCCUGG